GGCAGGCGAGUCCUGGGCUAGGGAGGGGCAGACGAGACGCCAAAAAUAAGAAGCGGCGAAGGCGACGAUCAAAUCGGCAGAGAGAGGGGGGGAGGGAGGGGGAGGAGCGGAGGAGGCGGCUUCGACCCGCGCCGCGGUCCGUGGGGAGGCAUGGAGGCGAACGGGCGCGGCGGGGACAAUGACGCCGCGCGGGCGCCGCUCCUGGCGGGGCGGCGGUGGAACUCGGUGGGGUCGAUGCGCGGGGAGUUCGUGUCGCGGCUCCCCAAGAAGGUGCUCGACGCCGUCGACCCGGAGAGGCCCUCCCACGUCGACUUCUCCCGCUCCAAGGGCCUCCUGGAAGGAGAGAAAGAAUACUACGAGAAACAAUUUGCCACCUUGAGAUCCUUUGAGGAAGUUGACUCUAUAGAAGAAUCCAAUGUAAUAAGUGAAGAAGAGGAGCUCAUGGAGCAAAGGCAGAGUGAAUUUGCUAUGAAGAUAUCAAAUUAUGCAAAUGUUGUUCUCUUGGCAUUGAAGAUAUAUGCCACAGUUAAAAGUGGGUCAAUUGCUAUUGCUGCAUCAACACUUGAUUCAUUGCUCGACCUCAUGGCUGGUGGUAUCCUUUGGUUCACACAUCUCUCAAUGAAGAGCAUCAACGUCUACAAGUAUCCCAUUGGUAAAUUGAGGGUACAACCAGUAGGCAUUAUCAUCUUCGCAGCUGUUAUGGCUACUUUAGGAUUCCAAGUAUUUCUUCAAGCAGUUGAAAAGCUGGUAGUGAACGUGACUCCAGAUAAAUUGUCCCCACCACAACUCAUGUGGCUAUAUUCAAUCAUGAUCUUUGCAACAGUAGUUAAGCUAGCCCUGUGGUUCUACUGCCGGACCUCUGGUAACAACAUAGUCCGCGCCUAUGCUAAGGAUCAUUAUUUUGAUGUGGUCACGAAUGUCGUUGGUUUGGCUGCUGCUGUUCUCGGUGACAUGUUUUACUGGUGGAUUGACCCAGUUGGUGCAAUCGUCCUUGCAGUCUAUACAAUUACAAACUGGUCUGGAACAGUGUGGGAAAAUGCAGUAUCGCUAGUAGGUGAAUCAGCUCCCCCAGAAAUGCUGCAGAAGUUGACAUACCUAGCUAUCAGACAUGACCCUCAAAUUAAGCGUGUUGAUACAGUUCGGGCAUACACCUUUGGGGUGCUUUACUUUGUGGAGGUCGAUAUUGAGCUCCCGGAGGACUUGCCACUCAAGGAGGCGCAUGCCAUUGGAGAAUCACUCCAGAUAAAGAUCGAGGAACUUCCAGAAGUCGAGCGGGCAUUCGUUCACCUUGAUUUCGAGUGUGACCACAAGCCAGAGCACUCGAUCCUCAGCAAGCUUCCUAGCAGCCAGCCUUGAUUACCAUCCGAAUUCACUGUGGAAAACGCAAGAUGUUGGAUAUUUUGCUUGCCGUGCAGGAUUCGCUACAGUACUUGGUGUCUUGCAUUGUUGGCCAUCUAAAUGAGAUAAGCACCAGCGUUGGAGACUAUAGACUUGUUUCGCGGAGCCCUCUAAAUGUCGUGUUUCGAGUAAAAGUAGGUUAUUUUUGCUUCUUGAAGCUGUCAUUGUUUGUCUGCGAUGAGGGCUGCAAUGUGGAAAUGUUUGCUACAAAAAGAAAGCAAGCGAUUUUUGUGUGCUCAAAAUCAGUUUUGUGAACUAGGGUCGCAAGGAGCGAGCUAGCCCACCCGGGCUCGAGUCCUAAGUGGACCGUGGUGCUUAGAGAUUUCUGCUAUAAAAAUAUACCUCCAAGGGUUAGUUCUGAAUGGUUUUGUUUUUCUUUAACUUAGUAUGCCGCUCUUUUACUUGUGUGGUUUGUUCUAAGAAAAAGAACAUUUGAAAAAUGAUACACUAUCAACUUCGUUUGUAAAUAGGUCAUGUUUUAGACCUUUACGUGGUAUCCAACAUGUGUUUAUGAAAAUUUGUAUGUUUGUGAAAUUUUCCUGAACUUCUACAAUAUUUUCAUAUAUAUAUUAGCG
Molecule: ribosomal RNA, 1973 nt
Filed under: Triticum aestivum (bread wheat)
Lineage: Eukaryota; Viridiplantae; Streptophyta; Magnoliopsida; Poales; Poaceae
Description: partial small subunit ribosomal RNA
Source: RNAcentral